CCGUAGCCCAAGAGAUCGGGAUAACACCUUGAAACAGAUGCUAAUACCGGAUAACAACAGAUGAUGCCUAUCAACUGUUUAAAAGAUGGUUCUGCUAUCACUCUUGGAUGGACCUGCGGUGCAUUAGCUAGUUGGUAGGGUAACGGCCUACCAAGGCGAUGAUGCAUAGCCGAGUUGAGAGACUGAUCGGCCACAUUGGGACUGAGACACGGCCCAAACUCCUACGGGAGGCAGCAGAU
This 239-nucleotide ribosomal RNA is filed under the name uncultured Lactobacillus sp. RNAcentral describes it as "partial 16S ribosomal RNA". It matches the Rfam family "Bacterial small subunit ribosomal RNA", at positions 125 to 354 of the family's 1533-position model. Lineage: Bacteria; Bacillati; Bacillota; Bacilli; Lactobacillales; Lactobacillaceae. The record is from RNAcentral.